Molecule: ribosomal RNA, 493 nt
Filed under: uncultured bacterium
Lineage: Bacteria
Description: partial 16S ribosomal RNA
Rfam family: Bacterial small subunit ribosomal RNA
Source: RNAcentral
AUUGAACGCUGGCGGCAUGCCUUACACAUGCAAGUCGAACGGUAACAGGUUAAGCUGACGAGUGGCGAACGGGUGAGUAAUAUAUCGGAACGUGCCCAGUCGUGGGGGAUAACGUAGUGAAAAUUACGCUAAUACCACAUACGAUCUAUGGAUGAAAGCGGGGGAUCGCAAGACCUCGCGCGAUUGGAGCGGCCGAUAUCAGAUUAGGUAGUUGGUGGGGUAAAGGCUCACCAAGCCAACGAUCUGUAGCUGGUCUGAGAGGGCGACCAGCCACACUGAAACUGAGACACGGUCCAGACUCCUACGGGAGGCAGCAGUGGGGAAUUUUGGACAAUGGACGCAAGUCUGAUCCAGCCAUUCCGCGUGCAGGAUGAAGGCCCUCGGGUUGUAAACUGCUUUUGUACGGAACGAAAAGGUCUCUCUUAAUACGGGGGACUCAUGACGGUACCGUAAGAAUAAGCACCGGCUAACUACGUGCCAGCCGCCGCGGUAA